AGGAUGAACGCUGGCGGCGUGCUUAACACAUGCAAGUCGAACGGUGAAGUGAGGAGCUUGCUCCUUGCGGAUCAGUGGCGAACGGGUGAGUAACACGUGAGUAACCUGCCCUUAACUCUGGGAUAAGCCUUGGAAACGGGGUCUAAUACCGGACAUUUACGAUUGAUCGCAUGGUUGGUUGUGGAAAGAUUUAUUGGUUUUGGAUGGACUCGCGGCCUAUCAGCUUGUUGGUGAGGUAAUGGCUUACCAAGGCGACGACGGGUA
Molecule: ribosomal RNA, 264 nt
Filed under: uncultured bacterium
Lineage: Bacteria
Description: partial small subunit ribosomal RNA
Rfam family: Bacterial small subunit ribosomal RNA
Source: RNAcentral